RNAcentral lists this long non-coding RNA (712 nucleotides) under Oryza sativa Indica Group (long-grained rice). RNAcentral describes it as "lncRNA OsMH63_08G018750". Lineage: Eukaryota; Viridiplantae; Streptophyta; Magnoliopsida; Poales; Poaceae. The record is from RNAcentral.
AUGAGCGGGCGAGAGCACGCCAGCCAAGGCGCCGAGGCAGCCGAACACCGGCCACCUGCGCAGCCCCGGCAGGAGGGUCAGCACCUUCCUCCAGCGGCCACGCAACGAAACCACAGCGGCGCCGGUGGCGGCUGCUCGGCGAGGACAAGGAGGAACGGCGGCGGCGGUUUGGAAUGGGGUCGCGUGCAGCACCUGUUCUACGUGCUCGGCGAGCUCGAGUCCUUCUCCGGCGACGCCAACCACUUCCUGGCCGCGCACGGGCUGCGUGCGCUCGCGCGCUGGCUCCCCGCCGCCGUUGGCACCGCGGCGGCCGCGGCCGUGCAGGCCUCAACAUGUGGUGCUGCCGCGGCGGCAGCGACGCCCCGGCCACUCCACGUCGUCGAUCUCGGCGUCUCCCACGGCGUGCAGCGGCAGCGCGUGGCGCGUGGCGCCGGUGAGUGCGUCGACGAGGUAGAGGCUGUGGAAGGGGUCGCGGUGGCGGAGGAGGACGAGGUGGCCGCGGGAGCCGGAGAGGAGGGUGGCGUUGCCAGGGACAGGGUAGGAGGAGAGGGGUGCCGCGACGACGAGCUAGGAGAAAGGUACGCAAUGCGGUAUGCGGGGGCGGAGGAGCCGGGGCAGAGGAGGAGGAGCGGCGGGAUGCGGGGGCGGAGGAGGAGGAGCAAGUGGCGCCAGGGCUGGCACGCGGCGGCGAAGACUCGGUGAGGAGGAGGAA